UAGCUUGCUACCUGACCUAGCGGCGGACGGGUGAGUAAUGCUUAGGAAUCUGCCUAUUAGUGGGGGACAACAUUCCGAAAGGAAUGCUAAUACCGCAUACGCCCUACGGGGGAAAGCAGGGGAUCUUCGGACCUUGCGCUAAUAGAUGAGCCUAAGUCAGAUUAGCUAGUUGGUGGGGUAAAGGCCUACCAAGGCGACGAUCUGUAGCGGGUCUGAGAGGAUGAUCCGCCACACUGGGACUGAGACACGGCCCAGACUCCUACGGGAGGCAGCAGUGGGGAAUAUUGGACAAUGGGCGAAAGCCUGAUCCAGCCAUGCCGCGUGUGUGAAGAAGGCCUUUUGGUUGUAAAGCACUUUAAGCGAGGAGGAGGCUACUGAGAUUAAUACUCUUGGAUAGUGGACGUUACUCGCAGAAUAAGCACCGGCUAACUCUGUGCCAGCAGCCGCGGUAAUACAGAGGGUGCGAGCGUUAAUCGGAUUUACUGGGCGUAAAGCGUGCGUAGGCGGCUUUUUAAGUCGGAUGUGAAAUCCCUGAGCUUAACUUAGGAAUUGCAUUCGAUACUGGGAAGCUAGAGUAUGGGAGAGGAUGGUAGAAUUCCAGGUGUAGCGGUGAAAUGCGUAGAGAUCUGGAGGAAUACCGAUGGCGAAGGCAGCCAUCUGGCCUAAUACUGACGCUGAGGUACGAAAGCAUGGGGAGCAAACAGGAUUAGAUACCCUGGUAGUCCAUGCCGUAAACGAUGUCUACUAGCCGUUGGGGCCUUUGAGGCUUUAGUGGCGCAGCUAACGCGAUAAGUAGACCGCCUGGGGAGUACGGUCGCAAGACUAAAACUCAAAUGAAUUGACGGGGGCCCGCACAAGCGGUGGAGCAUGUGGUUUAAUUCGAUGCAACGCGAAGAACCUUACCUGGUCUUGACAUAGUAAGAACUUUCCAGAGAUGGAUUGGUGCCUUCGGGAACUUACAUACAGGUGCUGCAUGGCUGUCGUCAGCUCGUGUCGUGAGAUGUUGGGUUAAGUCCCGCAACGAGCGCAACCCUUUUCCUUAUUUGCCAGCGGGUUAAGCCGGGAACUUUAAGGAUACUGCCAGUGACAAACUGGAGGAAGGCGGGGACGACGUCAAGUCAUCAUGGCCCUUACGACCAGGGCUACACACGUGCUACAAUGGUCGGUACAAAGGGUUGCUACCUAGCGAUAGGAUGCUAAUCUCAAAAAGCCGAUCGUAGUCCGGAUUGGAGUCUGCAACUCGACUCCAUGAAGUCG
Molecule: ribosomal RNA, 1257 nt
Filed under: uncultured Acinetobacter sp.
Lineage: Bacteria; Pseudomonadati; Pseudomonadota; Gammaproteobacteria; Moraxellales; Moraxellaceae
Description: bacterial SSU rRNA
Rfam family: Bacterial small subunit ribosomal RNA
Source: RNAcentral